This 484-nucleotide ribosomal RNA is filed under the name uncultured bacterium. Its description in RNAcentral is "partial 16S ribosomal RNA". It matches the Rfam family "Bacterial small subunit ribosomal RNA", at positions 30 to 507 of the family's 1533-position model. The record is from RNAcentral.
AUUGAACGCUGGCGGCAGGCCUAACACAUGCAAGUCGAGCGGAUGAAGGGAGCUUGCUCCUGGAUUCAGCGGCGGACGGGUGAGUAAUGCCUAGGAAUCUGCCUGGUAGUGGGGGAUAACGUCCGGAAACGGGCGCUAAUACCGCAUACGUCCUGAGGGAGAAAGUGGGGGAUCUUCGGACCUCACGCUAUCAGAUGAGCCUAGGUCGGAUUAGCUAGUUGGUGGGGUAAAGGCCUACCAAGGCGACGAUCCGUAACUGGUCUGAGAGGAUGAUCAGUCACACUGGAACUGAGACACGGUCCAGACUCCUACGGGAGGCAGCAGUGGGGAAUAUUGGACAAUGGGCGAAGGCCUGAUCCAGCCAUGCCGCGUGUGUGAAGAAGGUCUUCGGAUUGUAAAGCACUUUAAGUUGGGAGGAAGGGCAGUAAGUUAAUACAUUGCUGUUUUGACGUUACCAACAGAAUAAGCACCGGCUAACUUCGUG